This 1445-nucleotide long non-coding RNA is filed under the name Canis lupus familiaris (dog). Its description in RNAcentral is "lncRNA (ENSCAFG00000051318.1)". The record is from RNAcentral. Lineage: Eukaryota; Metazoa; Chordata; Mammalia; Carnivora; Canidae.
UGGGAAAACUGAACCACAGCAAGAAUCCACAAUGCUCCCAUGACCAUGCAAAAACAUUGAAAGAAGACAUGAUAAAUAUGUUCCAGUCCUUGAGCCUCGUUCCAAACAUUGGACAUUACUGAGUAUCUUCUUCCCCUUUUCUCUAGCCUCCCAAGAGUACUGACAAGAAACCACAUCCUGGGAUAAGAUCAGAAAUACAUCUGCUAAGAAGCCAUAACCUAUGGACAUUUUCAUUCCUACCCCCCGCCCCGCCCCAAACAGAAAUCCCUAUGAGUCAAAGUAGAUGAUGAUGUGCAUCAUAGCCUCCCAGCAGCACAAUUAAUCAGAAAGCUCUCAGGGGAGUAGUACAACAGCAUUUUCACUAUCAAUUAGAAAUACUGAUGAGAACCAGGAAGGACAGCUCCCUUAACUUGGCAGGAUCAGGACAAGACUGGUUACAGAGGCUAAGUCCUGAGUAGGCUCUCUCUCAGCCACACGGCCCUUCUCUCUUCUUAGGGAUAAUUUUGUCAGGUCCUUAGGAAUGAGGGAAUCAUGUCUAUACCAAGGAAGUCACAUGAGUCACUUUUCCACUUCCCAUCUCCAUUCAGAGAUUAUCUCCCAUUUGUCAGGGAAGACAUUCUAUGACCUUCUUAACAAUUUAUCCCACUGAGGAAUCCUUUUAUGACUGCAUGUUAUUAGGUAAUAGAAGCCCUCACCAAGUUCCCCCGAACAUGUACUGUCUAAUCUCGUACUUGGCAGAGACAGGCGCCGAUCACUAGUAAUGCAUUCUCCCCCUUCAUUGUGUAGGACUGUCAUUGAGACAUGGCUUCCUACCAAGGGCCUCUAUUUUCCAGACCCCUUGAAGUCAGAGUGGUCAUAAAACCAGGUUCUGGACCAUUGAACAUGAAAGAAAGUGACGUGCAUCUAUCUCCUCCCAGGCUUGGCACCCAAAAACCUUCCAGGUGUCUUCCCCCUCCCAUGUCUUUUCCCCUUUGUACUCACUGGAAUGUUAGAGAUUCCCAGGGCAACCUUAGAAGUCACAUAUUAUAAAUGGCAGACUUCUGGAUUGACAACGUGGAGGGUCACCCUACCAACUUUCUCCCCAUCCACUAUGAGAGUGAGAAAAAAAGUGUUUGAGAAAUGUACAUUUUUAGGUCUAUGUGAUUUGAUAGUUAAUCUAAUACAUAUACAUUUCCUGGGCAUUAGUUGUUAGCUAUAGUGAGAGGUUUAUAGGAUAUGUGAUUGAAUAUGCCAAGACAGGAUUCUCCAUUCACCUCUACAGAAGAUAAAGCAAAAUGAUCAGACCUGUCAGAAUUUGCGGGGUUAAUGUAGAAAGGAACAGAAUCUUUUCCUCAGCCACUUGGCUAGUUGGCCAAUUCAGGAUCUUAAUUUAUUAGAUUCUUACUUAUUAAAAUGCAUGACAAUGUACCACAAACUAUUGAUUUUACCUUAAUUUCAUAGCUGAA